AUAAAUUUGGCAGAUAAUUGUAUUAGAUUUAGAAUCUAAACAUAGGAAUUUAAGUUUCCUAAUUUAUA
This 68-nucleotide transfer RNA is filed under the name Chthamalus malayensis. RNAcentral's name for it is "tRNA-Leu". Lineage: Eukaryota; Metazoa; Arthropoda; Thecostraca; Balanomorpha; Chthamalidae. The record is from RNAcentral.